GGUGCUGACCAAAGUCCUGUGGUGAAAGGAGAAGCAAUGUCCCUGAUAAAAUGAUGAGAAGAGUUGAGCAUUCGAGAGCAGCUGAUGUGGCAACACUCUCCUAAGCAACCAGAGAAUUAUAGCCCGGGUUACUCUAGAAGGGACUUUGUGCAAAACUGACUACACAGAUAUCCAGCUUGAUGAGCAGCUACAGUUUGCAGUGGUGAUGAUGAUGACUUGCAGUUUGGAAGAAGAGUUGACAAGGAGUGAAGGUGUUGCCACAUCCCUUCUGAAGCUGCACUGUCUUCCCCGAGGGAUGCUGGUAAUACUGGUUGCAGAACACAGAAUGGGAAAGCAAAAGUGAAGUGAAAGACUGCAUGAGGAGAGCUUGCAGAAGCAGGAGCUGUGACCUGCUGAGGUCUCUGCUCUCAAGAGGAAGAAAUUUAACUACGAUUCACCUGCAGGCACAGAGGAUGGAGUUAACAUCCCUUCUUUUGGUGGCCUGGGUAUGACUCUCAUUCAUUGUGUCAUGAAUGACAUCCGUGUUACUGAAAGACAAUCUGACCCUGAAAAAUUGAAAACAAGAUCUUCUUUGCAGUUACUUCACGUGGCCCAACUCAAUGGGGAAGAAAGAUUUAAAGGCUGCCAAUCAAACAGAGGAAUGGACAACAUAAUUUAU
Long non-coding RNA from Corvus hawaiiensis (hawaiian crow), 658 nucleotides. RefSeq lists it as uncharacterized. NCBI's taxonomy places the organism in Eukaryota, Metazoa, Chordata, Aves, Passeriformes, Corvidae. The transcript has 5 exons. The record is from RefSeq and is a predicted model, not a curated record.